This 468-nucleotide ribosomal RNA is filed under the name uncultured bacterium. RNAcentral describes it as "partial 16S ribosomal RNA". It matches the Rfam family "Bacterial small subunit ribosomal RNA", at positions 28 to 507 of the family's 1533-position model. The record is from RNAcentral.
GACGAACGCUGGCGGCGGGCUUAACACAUGCAAGUCGAACGGAAAGGCCCUGCUUUUGUGGGGUGCUCGAGUGGCGAACGGGUGAGUAACACGUGAGUAACCUGCCCUUGACUUUGGGAUAACUUCAGGAAACUGGGGCUAAUACCGGAUAGGAGCUCCUGCUGCAUGGUGGGGGUUGGAAAGUUUCGGCGGUUGGGGAUGGACUCGCGGCGUAUCAGCUUGUUGGUGGGGUAGUGGCUUACCAAGGCUUUGACGGGUAGCCGGCCUGAGAGGGUGACCGGCCACAUUGGGACUGAGAUACGGCCCAGACUCCUACGGGAGGCAGCAGUGGGGAAUAUUGCACGAUGGGCGGAAGCCUGAUGCAGCAACGCCGCGUGCGGGAUGACGGCCUUCGGGUUGUAAACCGCUUUCGCCUGUGACGAAGCGUGAGUGACGGUAAUGGGUAAAGAAGCACCGGCUAACUACGUG